GUGCUUGCUUCGGCAGCUCGUAUAUUAAAAUAGGAAUGACACAGAGAAGAUUAGCAUGACCUCUGCACAAAGAUGGCAUGCAAAUUCAUGAAGCAUUCCAUAGUUGU
Molecule: small nuclear RNA, 107 nt
Organism: Dipodomys ordii (Ord's kangaroo rat)
Lineage: Eukaryota; Metazoa; Chordata; Mammalia; Rodentia; Heteromyidae
Source: Ensembl